This 465-nucleotide ribosomal RNA is filed under the name uncultured bacterium. RNAcentral describes it as "bacterial SSU rRNA". It matches the Rfam family "Bacterial small subunit ribosomal RNA", at positions 1036 to 1498 of the family's 1533-position model. The record is from RNAcentral.
AGGUGCUGCAUGGCUGUCGUCAGCUCGUGUCGUGAGAUGUUGGGUUAAGUCCCGCAACGAGCGCGACCCUUACCCCUUGUUGCCAUCAGGUUAAGCUGAGCACUCUAGGGGAACUGCCGGUGACAAACCAGAGGAAGGUGGGGAUGACGUCAAGUCAGCACAGCCCUUAUGUCCAGGGCUACACACGUGCUACAAUGGCCGGUACAAAGAGUUGCGAUGCCGCGAGGUGGAGCUAAUCUCAAAAAACCGGCCUCAGUUCGGAUUGGAGUCUGCAACUCGACUCCAUGAAGUUGGAAUCGCUAGUAAUCGUGGAUCAGCAUGCCACGGUGAAUACGUUCCCGGGCCUUGUACACACCGCCCGUCACACCACCCGAGUUUGCAGCGCCCGAAGUGGCUGAUCUAACCCGCAAGAGAUGAAGGUUACUAAGGUGAGGCAGGUAAGGGGGGUGAAGUCGUAACAAGGUA